This 484-nucleotide ribosomal RNA is filed under the name uncultured bacterium. RNAcentral's name for it is "partial 16S ribosomal RNA". It matches the Rfam family "Bacterial small subunit ribosomal RNA", at positions 30 to 507 of the family's 1533-position model. The record is from RNAcentral.
AUUGAACGCUGGCGGCAGGCCUAACACAUGCAAGUCGAGCGGAUGAAGGGAGCUUGCUCCUGGAUUCAGCGGCGGACGGGUGAGUAAUGCCUAGGAAUCUGCCUGGUAGUGGGGGAUAACGUCCGGAAACGGGCGCUAAUACCGCAUACGUCCUGAGGGAGAAAGUGGGGGAUCUUCGGACCUCACGCUAUCAGAUGAGCCUAGGUCGGAUUAGCUAGUUGGUGGGGUAAAGGCCUACCAAGGCGACGAUCCGUAACUGGUCUGAGAGGAUGCUCAGUCACACUGCAACUGGGACAAGGUCCAGACUCCUACGGGAGGCAGCAGUGGGGAAUAGUGGACCAUGGGCGAAAGCCUGAUCCAGCCAUGCCGCGUGUGUGAAGAAGGUCUUCGGAUUGUAAAGCACUUUAAGUUGGGAGGAAGGGCAGUAAGUUAAUACCUUGCUGUUUUGACGUUACCAACAGAAUAAGCACCGGCUAACUUCGUG